AGGAGAUAUAUUGAAAAAAGGUAUAUGAAAUUAAUAUUAUUUUAAGGAUAAUAAAUCAAAAUUAAAAAGAUGAUAAAAAGAUAUAAAAAUAUCAAUCAUAAUCAUGAAAAUGAUAAAAAAUAAAAACUAGUGGAAUGAAACAUCUGAGUAACUAGUAAAAUAACCAACAGGGAUAAUAUAAGUAACGGUGAGUGAAAAUAUUAAAAACUUAAAGUAUUACCAUGAGGUAAGAAGAAAGUAGUUUCCAACUACUAAGAAAGAAAGAAAAUUUUAGAUAAAAGUACUGUAAGGGAAAAUUAUGAAAUAGAAUAAUAAAGAGCAGUCAUAGUAUGGCGUACCUCUUGUAUAAUGGGCCAGUGAGUUAUAUAAUUUAGUGAAAAAUAGAUGAUUAUUUUUAUAUUUAAUAAGAUAAUUAAUAAUUAAAUUAUAUAGGCCCGAAAGCAAACGAUCUACACAUGUCCAAGUGUAUAUAUUAAAUAUAUAUAUGACUCAAUAGAUAAUUGUAGCAAUAAUUUCUAAAGAGGUGUGUGUAGUUGUGACAGACAAAUCUGGUUUGCAGAUAGCUGGUUUUCUGCGAAAUAUAUUUUAGUAUAGCCUUUAUUAUUUUUUAAACUGGUACAGCACUUAAAUAACUUUAGGGAAUUAGAAUAUAAUUUUAUUAAAAUAUUUAAACCUCGGAAUCAGUUAAUAAUUAAAUAAGGAGUCAGACUUAUUGCGAUAAGGUAGUAAGUCGAGAAGGAAACAACCUAGACUAUUAAAUGUAUGUCCCAAAUAUUAAUUAAGUGAAUAAAAUCUAUCCUAUUUAAACGAAUAUAUAUUCGGGGAAUUAAAUUAUAGACAAUUAGUAAGUGGGUUUGAUAAUAAUCAACUUUUAAUGAACAUGUAACAAUGCACUAAUUUUAUAUAUAUAUAUAAAAAAAAAUAUAUUUAUUAAUAAUAGAUAAAAUAUACGGGUCUAAAUUAAUAACAGAAUUAUAGAUAUUAAUUAAUAUGGUAGCAGAAUAUAUAAUGAAAAAUUAUAAAGAGAUUGCUGGCUUGAGUAACGAUAGAUAAUAUAAGAUUAUCCCCUUAUUCAUAAGGUUUUACUAUAAACGAACGGUCCCUAAGAUAAAUAUAGAAAUAUAAAAUCAAUGGGAAAAAGAACAAGAAAAUAAGAAUGAACCGUACUGUAAACCGACACAGGUAUGAAAAAUAAAGGGAAUGAGAUAACUACUUUGAAUGAACUCGGCAAAAUAAAUCGUGCGACUGUUUACCAAAAACAUAGCUUAUUGCAUAUUAGUAAUAAUAAGUAUAAUAAGUGAAAUCUGCCCGGUGUUAGUUCCAUAAAUAUAAUUAUUUAAUAGAUAAUUUUAUAAAUAACUGAUAAACGGCGGUCUUAUUGUGAGGAUCCGAAGGUAGCGGUGCGACAAGAAGUUCGUAUUAAGAAUAUGGUGAAAACCCAUUAAUAACAAUCGUAUUUAUUAAAUCUAUCUUAACAUGCAUAUAUAAGUAAUUAAUAUGUAUGAAGCUUAAGAGACAAAGAUGUUAUAACUUAAUCUGAUAUAAGUUAAUUCAUUUAGAUUAUAACGACAAGAUUAGUAUAUCAAAACAGUGGAAUAAAAUUUCGUUAAUAGGAAAAUAACAUAAUCAGAAUUGUUAUAAAAAUGAUUAGAAAGUAUAUCAUCGCUACUGAUAUCUUUAUACGAUUGAAAUAAUAAAAAAUAAUCAUCGGAAUAUAGCUGUAAUCUAAAUCGUUAAAUAAAGUCUUAAUACGGGAACUUGGUAAACCUUUAACAUACCUAUAAAAUAGGAAGUAACAUAUAAAGAAAUGAAAUUGUUAUAUAGUGUUGGAGGUAAAGGAUAAACAGAAAAAGCAAAAGGUUUUAUGUAAUAUAAAACAUAUAGAUAAAUAUCUAAUUUCGAAAGAAAGCAGACUUCUGUAAAAGGCUAUUAUAUCAUUAAUGUAAUUAUAUCUGUAUUUUAACAUAAAAUUAAAAUAUUAUAUAAAUUAUAAAUAUCUAAAUGUAAUUAUUGACAACAAUAAAUAAUAAAAUACAAGAAUCUUAAUUAUAAAUAUCUGAGUAAAAUUGUUAGGUAAUAUAUAAGUUUUUAAAUAAUAAAAAUAAAGUAUACACAAAUAAGUGAGUAGAUAAAAUAUGAUAUAUUAUUCAAGAUAUAUGUAUAAAAGUUAUAGAUCCAUAUUCUGUUAUAACAACAGAUAAUAAUUAUGGAUAUAAAAAAUAUAUAUAAGUAAGUAUAAAAAUCAUAUGGUUUACCUGAAUUAAAGUUACAGAUAUUAAAGUUAAUAACAAAUAACUUAAAUCUAUAAUUAUAUGUAAAGGUUUAUAAUAUCUAUCGCAUAUAAAAUUAUAAAUAUAACCUAAGAAAAUGAAAAUUAUCUAGGAUUAUAGAUCAUAAUGAUAAAACUUAAAUAAUUAAAAUAUCUUAUACUAAUUAAUAAAUCAAAUAAAACCUUUAGACAUUAUAGUAACGUUAAAUAAAAAAUGGACUAAUAAUUAAAUUGGUUACUGAUAUAUUUAAUAAAAUGUAUAAAGUUAAAUUGAAAAAAUUAUAAUUGAUGUUUAUAAAAGUACUUAUAAAUGUAAGAUAAAACUAAGAAUUGAACAGAUAAUGAUAAAUUUAUAUUAAUAAAUCAUAAAAAUAUUAAGAAAGAACAAAGUAUAUAAAUUAUAGGGUAUUUUAAUAAGCAGAUAAAAAUUAGUGUAUUAAGAUAGUUUGAGCCGUGUGCGAUGAAAGUCGCACGCACGGUUCUAGAGGGGGGAAAGACUGUAAGGUCCUACCUAUCCUAACAAAUUCAUUGACGUAUAAUUGACGUCCUGCAUGAAUGAAUAAACGAUGCGAUAACUGUAUCCAAAGUAGACUCAGUGAAAUAGCAUUUGCGGUGAAAUAAAGUACUAUUAUAUCUUUAAGAUAUUUUACGCCGGGUUGGUAAAAAUCCAACUUUAUAGUUUUAAUUAUAUUAAAGAAUUCCUUAAACUAUUUAAAAUUCUAGAUAAAUUUAUUGAUAUAUAACCUAUUUAUAAUUAUAACCUAAUAUUAAAAAUAUACAUUAUAAAAUUAAUAAAAAAUAACUUUAUAAAGUUAAAUAUAUAAAUUAUAUAUAAAAAAUAAUGUUAAUAUGGUUAAUCAAUUAUGUAUCUAUAAUGAUUAUCAAUUAUUUAAACUAAAAAAAAUACAGAGAAUAAAAUAAUAAAUAAUCAAAUAAUAAUAAGGUAUAAAAAAAAUAUAAUUAAAUGUCAUAAAAGACAGAUGAGAGUUAAAAAAAGAAUACAAUCGAAUAACACUAAAUAAUAGCUAUAAAUAAAUGGUGAAAACGGUCAAUGACAUCUAAGUUAAAGACCGUCGGCAGUUGUAUAUGUCGCUACAGACUGGUUCACCGAGGUUAGACUGAAAUGUCUGUCUAAAUGUACAGUCGAAUUCUGUAAUAUUAUAUAUAGAGGUGUUAGAUAAAUAUCCAAAUAGGAUAUAAACUUAUUAGUACAUAAGUAAUAAACCUUUAUGGGGUAAACCCAUUUAAGUUAAUCAGAAUUGGAAGAUGCCGUAUAUCCGUAGGUUGACAAAAAGACCCUAUGCAGCUUUACUAUAUCUUUAUUUUGAUUUCUAACUUUUUUUAUUCAUUUCAGUAGAUUAGGUUAUAUUUAUAUUUUAAAUAAAAUGAGAUACCUAUAUAAAUAAAAAAAGAAUCUAAUUAAUUUACAUCAUAAUAGCCACCUAAAAAAUGAGUUUUGAUAAUAUUUAAGAAAGAGUAAAGAGGUUAGUUUCGAUGGGGCGUCGACAUCAGCGAAAGCAUCUGAUGUGUCUAAUAAUAAUGGUUUAUAUAUAAACAAAAUAUUUAAUUAAAUUUAUUAUUUAAUAGUAAAUAACGUACAAUAAUUCUAUAUGGUAAAUAGAAUAAAAGAUUAUAAGUAAGGAUAACAACAUAAUUGUGCGAUGAUAAUAACACAAACAAGUGAAAUUAGUACAUAAGUAGAGUGUAGUGAACAGGCAUAAACAAUUGGUAUGGAUGUCGAUAACGAAUUAAAGUUACGCUAGGGAUAAAUUAUAAGUCCCUUAUAUAUAGUAAUGUAUAUAAUAAAAUUGGGUGAAUUGCAUAAAAGUCUUAAUCAUAAAUGAAAGAUAAUAUGCAGCGAAGUUUAUAUUAGUUAAUAAAGAGAUAUAAAAACGUUCAACGACUAGUAGAUGAGUAAACUAACAAUAAAUCUACCACGAGCGCCCAACAUCUUAAAUUAAUUAAAGAUGAUGAAAUAGUCUGAACUAUAUAGAAAUAUAUAGAAGUUGAAAUAAAGUCAACGAUAACAAAAUUGAACAGGGUAAUACCGCGUGAGAGUUGAUAUCGUCAGCGGUGUUUGCCACCUCGAUGUCGUCUAGACUCGUCCUCCUGGUCGCAGCAACUAGGUAGGGUAGGACUGUUCGUCCUCUAAGGAGUUACUUGAGAUGGGUUAAUUACGACGUGAGUCAGUAAUGAUUUUAUCAUCUAUGGAUUUUAACUUUUCUGUUGCCUUAAGUGUACGCAAGGAUAAUAAGGUACUUUCCUAUGGUUAAUUAUAUUUAGCUAAGAAUGUUGUGUUUACAUAUUGAAUGCAUAUCAAAUAUUAAAUCCUUCAGAUAAGUUUUUACAUUAUAGACUAUAAUGUUUUAGUUAAUUUGUAUUUUUUGCAAUUUUAAACUAAUUUUUUUUUUUCAUAUACCU
RNAcentral lists this ribosomal RNA (4690 nucleotides) under Metschnikowia sp. 04-218.3. Lineage: Eukaryota; Fungi; Ascomycota; Pichiomycetes; Serinales; Metschnikowiaceae. The record is from RNAcentral.